UGGCAAACUGGCGGCGUGCCUAAUAAUGCAAGUGCGACGCAAUUGAUUCACCGGAGCUUGCUCCACCGAAUUGAUUGAGUCGCGAACGGGUGAGUAACGCGUAGGUAACCUACCUCAUAGCGGGGGAUAACUAUUGGAAACGAUAGCUAAUACCGCAUAACAGUAUUUAUCGCAUGAUAGAUGCUUGAAAGGCGCAAUUGCGUCACUAUGAGAUGGACCUGCGUUGCAUUAGCUAGUUGGUGGGGUAACGGCUCACCAAGGCGACGAUGCAUAGCCGACCUGAGAGGGUGAUCGGCCACACUGGGACUGAGACACGGCCCAGACUCCUACGGGAGGCAGCAGUAGGGAAUCUUCGGCAAUGGGGGGAACCCUGACCGAGCAACGCCGCGUGAGUGAAGAAGGUUUUCGGAUCGUAAAGCUCUGUUGUAAGAGAAGAACAGGUGUGAGAGUGGAAAGUUCACACUAUGACGGUAUCUUACCAGAAAGGGACGGCUAACUACGUGCCAGCAGCCGCGGUAAU
Molecule: ribosomal RNA, 520 nt
Filed under: uncultured bacterium
Lineage: Bacteria
Description: bacterial SSU rRNA
Rfam family: Bacterial small subunit ribosomal RNA
Source: RNAcentral